GGAUUGUAGUCUGCAACCCGACUACAUGAAGCUGGAAUCGCUAGUAAUCGCGGAUCAGAAUGCCGCGGUGAAUACGUUCCCGGGUCUUGUACACACCGCCCGUCACACCAUGGGAGUCGGAAAUGCCCGAAGUCUGUGACCUAACCGAGAGGGAGGAGCAGCCGAAGGCAGGUCUGAUGACUGGGGUGAAGUCGUAACAAGGUAAC
RNAcentral lists this ribosomal RNA (206 nucleotides) under uncultured bacterium. RNAcentral describes it as "partial 16S ribosomal RNA". It matches the Rfam family "Bacterial small subunit ribosomal RNA", at positions 1295 to 1500 of the family's 1533-position model. The record is from RNAcentral.